GACGAACGCGGCGGCGUGCUUAACACAUGCAAGUCGAACGAAGAGCGAUGGAAGCUUGCUUCUAUCAAUCUUAGUGGCGAACGGGUGAGUAACGCGUAAUCAACCUGCCCUUCAGAGGGGGACAACAGUUGGAAACGACUGCUAAUACCGCAUACGAUCUAAUCUCGGCAUCGAGGAUAGAUGAAAGGUGGCCUCUACAUGUAAGCUAUCACUGAAGGAGGGGAUUGCGUCUGAUUAGCUAGUUGGAGGGGUAACGGCCCACCAAGGCGAUGAUCAGUAGCCGGUCUGAGAGGAUGAACGGCCACAUUGGGACUGAGACACGGCCCAGACUCCUACGGGAGGCAGCAGUGGGGGAUCUUCCGCAAUGGACGAAAGUCUGACGGAGCAACGCCGCGUGAGUGAUGACGGCCUUCGGGUUGUAAAGCUCUGUUAAUCGGGACGAAAGGCCUUCUUGCGAAUAGUGAGAAGGAUUGACG
RNAcentral lists this ribosomal RNA (476 nucleotides) under Veillonella parvula. RNAcentral's name for it is "bacterial SSU rRNA". It matches the Rfam family "Bacterial small subunit ribosomal RNA", at positions 28 to 474 of the family's 1533-position model. Lineage: Bacteria; Bacillati; Bacillota; Negativicutes; Veillonellales; Veillonellaceae. The record is from RNAcentral.